Pangasius djambal is the source of this 72-nucleotide non-coding RNA. The record is from the annotation of a GenBank genome assembly. NCBI's taxonomy places the organism in Eukaryota, Metazoa, Chordata, Actinopteri, Siluriformes, Pangasiidae.
UCCCUGGAGGACUAAUGGUUAGGUCACAGUGCUCUCACCACUGCAUCCCAGGUUAAAUUCCUGGCCAGGGAA